GACUGCAACCUAAAGUGAUUGUAGGUGGAGAAGUAGUGUGUCUAAGAAAAGGUGUGUUUGGUGUUUUCAAUGAAGUUUGUGCGAGUGAACAGUCUGAUUUUGGUGAUUGAUUUGUGUAUGUCAGAUUUUGAAAUACCAUGGACUUGUACAGCACAUUGGCAAUGUGUGUUCACCUCUCCAACUUUCAGCUAGUAUGCUCAAAGUAUUUUCUUUAUUAAAAUUAUUUGACACUUUUUGAUCUUUUAAUAGAUUUGUCAUCAAGUAAGAAUACUUUUGGAACUUUUAAUUUACUUUUUAUUUAUAUGAAGUAUAUAUAUUAUGUAAGUUAAAAAGUUUUGCCUCUUUUUUAGCAGGAGCUGUCAAAGUUAGCAAAACAAGCAAGAGGGAAUUUUCUAGAAGCAGGUAAAAUUUUGUUGCUGAGUUUUAAAAGAAAAGACAUGCAAGACAAUGCUCUGCAAGAUGACAAAGAAAUGGCAAAUAGCAAAACCUAACAUAUUUCAUUAGCUUACAGGAAUGGGAUUUUUAAAAACUGGGACUUUUCCUGUCUUACGUCUUCGCUAAGAAAGUUAUUUAUUUGUACUGCAUUCUCUUGUAGCAUGUUUAACUCACUGCAUGAUGGAAUAUUGGUGAUACAUAGUGCAAAUUCUGAUACGUAUGAAAUAGGUAAGAAUUAGUCUGAACUAGAAAAGAUGCAGAAUCAAUACUAUUCACUUGUUUUGGCUUCCCUUCUGAUCAUUUUUCUGCUGCAUGAUUUUGUCCCUAUAGAUUAUUUUGUGAAAAUAUUUUUGAAUCAGUCUCUGUAGUAAUAAAAUAACAGCAAGGCAUCAGAGACACACAGUGAUCAGAAGAAAGUAAUGGGAUUUAUUUACUUGAAGUAAAAACCCUUUUUUUCCGAUUAGGAUAUUAUUGAAGAUAAAAGUCAUUGGAAAAAACUUAUUUUUCACAGUAGUGGAGGUUUACUGUUCUUGCCAAAGCAUUCACUAGUUUUUGAUGUCUAGAGCCAGUCUUUGAGAUUAAAAAUUUAGGCUCAUUUCCUGGAGCCUUGGCCAAUGGAGGCGACAGUUAAUGUAAGAGCUGUGCAACUGCUCCUGUAUGUAGACAAGAUGAGAGCAAAGCUCAUCUCAUGUUCAUACUGGGGCUAACUGAAAUUACUGGCCUGUAAGAGAGAAAAAUGUGUUCUUUGGAGUGGCAAAAGGCAUGGCCAUUAAGACUUCCAUUUGGGAUCUGGGAAACUUCAGUGACUCCCUGGUUUUAAUCUGCAUUUAAGCCGCAUUUUUUGUUCAGACCAGGAAGUUAAAUUAGGUCCUCUCACGACCUACAGAACUUCCUCAUGCAAGAGUGAUUCCUUUCUGUUGGGUAGCUCUGGAAGGCAUCAAGGAGAUGAAACGAGCGAAGCUCUGGUGAAUAUUUAAUCCCUUGCAUGGGUCUGCUCUCUAAGGACAGACUGAGAGUAGUGCCCUGCUGCAGGCCUGUGGUGCUCAGUUUGGGAUACUAGCCUGCUAAGAAAAAUUUUCAGACCUCCUAAGUACCCUCAACAUCAGACUACAGAAUAGUAGGACACAGCUCACUUGCUUGCUCUUAAUACUCUCGUUCAAAGCACAUUCCGUUUUCUGUUGUGGGAAAAGGAGAUAAUAAAAACAAGUGGUUUUGUGACAUGGGAAAGGGCUUUCUUCCCAUCUCUACUUUUGAGUGGAUCAAUGGAGUUUCUGUCCUAAUGGAAGAUCUUGUUCCACGAUUUAUGAUGCUAUCUGGUUCCUGAACCAAAGAUAAUUACCUGCCUUUUCAGGUCCAGAAAUAGAUUUUUAAAAUGGGAAAAGUGGCUUUAUUUCAGGUUUUUCCCUUUGGUCACUGCAUGUGUGACUACUUUCUCUUCAUUUCUAAACACGCUAUUCUUAACAAUAUAGAUUUGAUCUAUCCAGUCUUGACAAUAGAGAGUUGUUUUCUUUAUGUAUGUAGCUGACAGAGAUUCCAAGUCAGGGACCCAAUUAGAAAUAAUUAGUCUUGAAGGGUAAAAUGGAAUUUUUAAAUGUGCAUGAUAAAAGAAGUUGCAUUUCAUUUCUGUUUACAUUGAAAUAAUAAUUUCUAGCAUUGUGUCCUAGAGAUAAUUCUGCAUAGGCCACAACAUCAAUUUAAUUAGAAAGCUCCUGUGUUAUAGAAAGGCCUUCCACACAGAGUAGUUUCUGUAUUUGUCAGAUAAGCAGUAUACAUCAUGGACUAAGGAUCUAAUUAAGAUUUCAAGACACUGAAAGGUAAGCACUUUAAUAAUACUAAAAUAAUUUUAAUUUUCAUAUACAGAAAAAUGGAAGAAUACUAAUAUAUCUAUUUAAUUUUCAGUUUAGUUUUGAUUUCACCUUGAAGUACUAGAAACUUCUCAAAGAGCCUAUUUGAGCCAAAAUUGUAACUGCUUCAUUGAAGGGUGAAGGAGGAGAAUAGGGAACAAGAAAAAUUAACAGCAGUAUCAAUGUCUGCAUUUCACAAAACCAACCCCAGCACAUCAACGGAGAGACUGGAGUUGUCCAAGAAAUAAGGAGGUAUUGGAAUUCUCCAGUAUGGAGGAUAUGGAUAUGUGGUCCUUAUUUAAAUGAAGAACUAAAGCACAGACAUUAUUCAUGCUAAUACAACCCUCACAUCAACGUCUGCACACAGAAAUAUCUGUUAUUAAGCUGUUCAGGUCAUUAAACUGGAUGUAAGGCUGUGCAGAAAGAAUGCAUGAACAAAGUAUCAUUCAUCAGUAUGCUACAGUAAGUAUCUGCCAGCUUCCUUCUGGCACUUUUACUCUGUUUCCUUCUUAAAGGAAAUGAGAUCAUUUGAGGUAGGCUUGUCUUUGAUGAAAGAGGUGUAAACUAACUUAUAUUUUCCAAAGUGUUAUUGUUUAAGAGCUUGCCAGAAGAGCUUUUUGCUGCUAAAUUUUUUAUAGCCAAUACUAAAAAAUUGAAUACUAAGAAAUAGUCUUAAGAAUUAAAUAAAUGUUUAUUAAGAAACUUUUUGGAUAAUUGAAAGCUAUAUAACUGUUUGGAAGCUGAUUUUAAUUGCCAACUUCAACCUCUCUGAGGACAAUUUAACAGAUGGCAACUUAUUAAACCAGUCCCUUAGUUUCUAUGGGAAACUUGAUAUCAAUUUUUAUUCUGAUAGAUGAGAAGAAUUAACUGGCAAUUUAAAAAUGGGCAAUUAUUAUGGCUGUGAUCUGAUUGAAGUAGGUAUGUUUGAGCAGACCAUGACUCCAGGCAGUAGUGUGUUUAUUUGGACUAUUAAAAGGCCCUGUUUGCUAACCUUAAAGCAGUUAACUAAAAUAUAGCACAACUGUAACCAAAUUGCAGUGAAAUGCAACAUGACGCAAAACAGAAUCAGUCUUGCUUCAGAAGUGAUGGUCAUGAAGGACCUGAUAAAGGAGAUGAGCAAAGAACGACACAAUUCUGUGGUAAGUUAUUCAAGGUAGGGCAAGAAUAGAAUGUGAGUGACAACAACAACAACAAAUUAAGAUAAGUGAAAACAUGAUUGUAAGUUCAGAUAAAUAUGUGUGUAUAACUUAUAUCUAUAAAAUAAUGACCUCUGCACUGACCUUUACCUCUCAUAAGCUACUUCUCUGAAGACAAAAUCUCAGUGCUUGGUAACAGUCAAAAAACCAUAUACAUUAGGAAUAAAUGGGAAAACAAUGGAAAAUGAAAUAAAAGAGACUUUGAAUAUACAUCUGUGGCAGUCCCUUUUUCACACAAACUUUGAAUAAUAUUUUUGGUUGUGGUAUGUUCAAAAGGAAAAAAUGUUCUGGAAAAUCACCAAGGAUGAUUAAAUUCAAUUGGAGGAAUGAAUGAGUUCUGGUGCAGGAGUCUUCAGCCUAGACAACAGGGGUUUAAGAAUUCAGAAAGAUGUUGUAGAAAGCUCUACACAAUUAUCAUCGGGAGUUUAAGUCAGGGAGUGACUGCUUUCACUGUCUUCCCAUGCAAGAACUAGGAAGUAACAAGUGAAGCUCAUCAGAAGGCAAACAAACCAAGCAAGAAGAGAUGCUUCUUUGUGGAAAGUAUUAAAUGACGUAUUUUUGUGCUACAAGUCUUAUAUGAGUAAAAAAAAGUCAAGAUUACAUCAAGGAUAAGGUAAGCCCUGAGAAAAAAUUGUGCUGCAGAAUGAGAAAAACCCACACCAGGUUCAGGAAGUACACCAGACUGAAAACAAUUGGAGUAAAGGAAUGUGUUUGUAGGGGAAAUACCACAUAUAUUUACCUUGUCCAUACUGCUUCCAGCUAGUGCUUGUGGCCAUUCUUGGAUAAAGAACACUAGGCCAGAUGGACCUUUGGUCUAAGCCAGUACUAGAGACUCUUAAAUUCUAUCUUUAUAUAGAAGCAGUGAUGAAACAUUUAUAUAAAAUAUUUCAUAAAAAUAUAAAAUUUAGAACAUUUAUAUAAUAGAUGGAAAGAAAUUUAUGCUGAAUAUAAGUUACUAGCUAAAUACAAAGGAUACAAAAAGGUGGAAAAAGUCCAUUAUAAAUGGCCGACAGAGUUAAAAAUAAUAAAGCCUUUAAAAUAAAGGAUCAUUUUAAAAUGCAGGUUUUAGCUAUAACCAAGGUAACUUCUGCCAGCAUUCUUAUUACAGGUCAAUGGAAUGUGGUUUCCAAUCUAAUCCUUUCCAAUUUUUUGAAGUGUUUUUACAUGUUGAAUUUGUAUAUGAAAUAAGUAAGCUCUUGUUUCACAUUUGAGAUUUAGACUGUCUAAAGUUACAACAACAUAUAAAAAGUUACAGUAUUUUUGGAAAGAAGCAGAAAGAUGUGUCCGUCCCACUUCCUUGAAAUAUCUGAAGCUGGACCACAGUACUGUUUAAGGAGGGUUUGUGGUCAGUGAGGUAUAUGGCAGAUAGCUAACUGGCAGAUUUCAAUUGCUAACUAGCUGUUAUCAAAGGGGAAUCUCAAAUGAGAAUGCUUUUAGCAGUUUUCCCAGUGGCUAGUCCUUGGUUAAAGACUUGAACAAAUUUUGUAGGUGUUCUAGUGGAAAAGAUAUUUGCUGGGAAAUUAUAGAUACAAAGUUAAUCCCAGAGGUAAAAUGAAACAUGGUGAUCUUUCAACAAAUACCCUUGGAGUGAUUUCAGAUUUCGGGUUAAAUGGUCAAAGUCUGAAAGUACUUAUUUUUAAUAGUCAGAUGUAAACAAAUCAGCUUGUGAGCCUGAAAGUCAAAUGAUACUUAUCACAGGAUGAGAGCUGGAUUUAAAAGCCAGAGAAAUGUAGGAGUCAUUCUAGUUGUUUCUGUCAGUGUAGCACUGGGGCAGAUAAGGUGAUGUCCUCGGAGGUUCUGUGAGGACACCACUGGGUGGAAGGAGGACGAUACUCUCGGCAGAGGCUGUACAGAAUCAGGGCUGAUACCGGAGUAUGGUGUCCCCAUGGUAAGGUGGAUUUGAAACAGAUGAGUAGAGUUCAAGGGAGGCCAACAGAAAUGAUCCUGGGGAUUGUAAAAUGAUGUUAAGCUGUUGGGGUGACAGCUAUUCAUUCAUAUGUGAGAAAGAAAUUGUUUUAGUAUUGCAUAGAGAUAUUGCACAAGGAAGAGAUAUCAGUAAAGCUGGGACGUGACAGCAGUCCUGACAGAGAUAAGACAAGGUCUCCAGGCUGUGGACUUAAUUAAACUGCAUCUUCCUAAAGGUAGUUGAAUGCAGUAAUAUUUUUAUUUAGAGGAGACAUGGCCUGGAUCAACGCUUUUAGCUGCUAUAGAGAACACUUUUAAAAUAUCCUGCUCCUUUCAGCAUCAGACUAAUUGGGUGUGGGACCUAGAGGUGUUUCCCAGAAAUAUUUGAAAGGACUUGAGACCUUUUCACCUUCUUUGCAGUAUGGCUGUAUCUUACUCUGUGCCAGACUUCUUACUAUCCUGAGACUGAAAUUUUUUAAUGUACUUGAAUUCAAUGAAGGGCUUUGGAGUACAAAAUGCCAUCUUAUGCUAUGCAGAGAGAUGCAAGGAAGCUGCAGACAAAGUGAAUAUUUUUAUGAAAAAGAGAGACUUACAACUGCUGAAGGUGAGAAUACCAUCAUCAUGGUAUUCAGUUUCAUUUCUACAGUGAUUUUGUUGGAUUUUCUUGACAUCUUUCAAAGUUUUUACAUAUGUCUUCUCUGUGUGUGCUCAUGAAGGCUUGCACACAGGGAGUCAAACUUCCUUCUCUCUCCUUAUUAUCACUCUUUCUAACUCUAGUUCAUGACUCACUACUGUGUAGCCACUCCCUCCCUGGAGUCCUCACUGGUGGAAUAGGAAGGAAAAUCAGAAUCAGGAAUAAAGUAAAACUGAAGGGUUGAGAUAAGAACAGUUUAGUACUUAAAACAGAGUAAAUAAUAAAUCAAACACAGAUAAUAAUAAUAGCAGCAGCAGCAACAACAAAAAAAACCAGCAACAACACAACAACAGCAAUAAUAAUCAAAAGGAAAUUAAUAGAGAAAAAUAAAUGCUAAAAAGAAUGAGUGAUGCUCAAUAUAUAGUUGCUUACCACCUGCUGACUGAUACCCAGCUGAUCAGCAAUCACUCCCUCCCAGCCAAUUUCUCUCAAUUUAUACACUGAACAAGAUGUUCUAUGGUGUAGAAUAUCCCUUUGGCCAUUUUGGGUCAGCUGUCCCAGCUGUCCCUGCUUCAUUCCCUCCCAGGUUUUUGUCUCCUUCUUGCUGCCAGGGCAUGAGACACUGAAAAAUCCUUGACUUAGGGUGGUACUACUUAGCAAGAACCAAAACAUCUGUGUGUUGGCAACAUUAUUCUCACACUGAAUCUAAAACACAGCACUGUACCAGCUACUAAGAAGAAAAUGAAUGCUGUCCCAGCUGAAACCAGGACAUGAUCCUUUUGUAAAUAGGAAGGAUUGUAAUUGUUUUCUUAGAGCAUCUUGUCUUAAAGCUGUCCAGCAUACUCUUGCCUUUGCCUAUGCUUCAUUGGUUUGUAAUCUCUACUGACUGCAGGAUCAGAGAGAACAGGAGACAUAGAUGCUAUUUAUAAGGUCUUCCUACAUCUGCUGCAGUUGGACUUCCAGCACAUAAAGGAUUGUCAGUGUAGAAGUUAAGUGACAUAUGAAGGGUUUGCACAGGACAGUACUGUCUGUGAUGUCCAACUACUGUUUCUUUUGACAUUCUCAAAUAACCCAAUAGAAAUGGAGCAACUGCAGAAUCUGAUAAAAAAGCUAAACUACUGUUCAGAAUAAUCACUGUUUCUGGCCUUACUGUCGUUGGUAAAUCUAUAUUUUUGCCCUUAGAUCAAUUUCCUUUUUGACUUUGUGAUUGACUUGUAACAUGCUCACAGACAUUGUGUUUGCACACUGAACAACUGAGCUGGAAUUUGAUUGCUUUGUAUUACAAAUUAGAAAAUUACUAUUUUUUUAUUAAACAGCAUUCAUGGAAUGAAUGCAUUUGAUUAUUGCAGAACUACUUUGAGAAUAUAUAAAUACCUGAAAUUCAUUAUUGUUUCUUUAGGUCCUGGGUAAUCUUCCUUUGUCCUGAGAUUGUUCCCUUAUUACAGGUAUGACUCCGUAGAUAAAUGAAUAUUGCCUUUCUGUUCAUCUUCUCUAAGAUAAAUAAUAAACAAAGCAAAGAAAUGGCAAAUAAACAGAUUUAAAUAAUCUUAAUAUUUCUAUGACAUAUUCUUAUAUAGUUUUUAUUAUUUUAUCUUUCUUAUAUAAGGACGCAGGCACAUUACUGUGAAGCAAGUCUUUCUUUUCCCAUUCACUGUUACUUCUGCUUUUUAAUACACUUUUUAGUAUUUCAGCAUUUAAAUUCGAAGAGCUAUCCAUUUUUCUCAACAAACAAGUAGGAAACCUAACAAUAUGAUGCUUGAAUGUGAGCUUGGAUAGAACUACUUCAGUAGAGAAAAUAGUAAAAUGAGACACAGGGUGGGUAUCAGCUGCUUAUGCAGGGACCAGAAGAGUUCCACAUUCCUUACAGGUGUGAACCUAUAGAUGUCAUUGUUUGUCUAUUAGUAUUAAUAUUCCUCUGCAGAAGCAGCAGUUUCAGUUCUGGUGGAUAAAUUUCAAAAGCUGAACAAAGCAGAGAAGGUUUGGAGAAAUGGUAAAGGCUUGAUCUAAGGCAAUAUUUUAGUCCUUAGGCUAAUAGUUUUUUUUUUUGUUUGGUUUUUUUUUUUUUUGUUGUUGUUGAAUAAAAUAUUGAAAGGAUUUCAUGGUUUUGAAAGAUCUUGUGAAGAGAGGAUGUUUGUUUGGAGAAAGAAACUGUGUGUUGAAGAAAGCAAAACUAAGAUCUACUGUCUGGAAGAGGAACUUAUGUUUGAAGAGCAAAGAUAAUUAGCCAUGAUUAAACAUAGAUGAUUGACUAACCAUGAGGAUUGUCAGAAAAUGUUCAUAUUCAUAUUAACUUAUAAGGUUAAGUAAUGGUUAUAUUUCUAUUGGCAAAAUUUUAUAUUUUGCAGCAAUUUGUGGAUUCAUGGUAAGAAAACUGGUCAACAUGUUACGGAGCAGGUAGAUUUGAGACAGACUUAUCUACACUUCCCAGGAGUUAUGGGUGGCAAAGAACAAAAUUUAUAGAAGUGGAACAUUUACUGUUCUUCAGGGUUGAUUAUGUAUACAGGAUUGAUGGCUGACCAUAAGGAUGCAUUUCAGGCUGUGAUGUGACUUUUGUCUGGGGGUGAUCUUACAUUAUGUUUCUGUUUAAAGACAUGCUACUGCUGUCUGCUGUGACAGUGCCAGGGAUGUUCCUACCCUUCUGUGCUGAAGUUAACACUUAUGAGUUGUGUGGGAAGACGAGGAGAGGACAGGAUUCUCUCUUAAGUGACAAUGAAGUUCUGAAUAAUUGGUUGAAGAGAAUUGUGAAUCUUGACUCAUAUGUUUAAUGUCUAUGAGGAGGUAAGAAGUUAAUGGAGGUGGGUCGUAAAAGUACUUCUUAUAGUGCUGGAAGUUAUUUAAGAUCCGAUCCCCUGCAAAAUGUUUAGCUGAUCUAAUUAAAUUAGAUCUUACAUGAGUUUAAACUAAUACAAUUUCUGUGUAUCUGGAGAAAACUUCAUGGAAGGUGAGUUUGAAGAAGGUGAUCUAGUUACUUCCUGUAAGAUGCUGCCCAAGAGGCAUAUCAGAGAGUUUAGGCAUAUCCAUCCUUGAUGUCCAUCCUUGAUGCCCGUGUCUUAAGAAGUUGUUUUAAGUUAGUGCCUUGAUAAUUUUGGUUCAAGGUGUGCCAAAGGUUUGAUGCAUCACUGUGCACAAAAUUAAUGCUGAAAGAAAGGUGUCUCUUAGAGUAUUCAUCAAAUUGUCCUGAAAUAUGGUCUGGUCCUUUUCUUAUUGGUCUAUAUGUAGGCUACAAGUGGAUCCUGCUUCUAAGGGCUGUGAAUCCAUAAGAAUUUUCUAGGGGCCUUCUGCCUUUUCAUGUAGGUAAAAAUCUGCCUCCAGCAUGAAACUGGAGUUUUCCAGUACACCAAGAGAGCUUUGAAGCAACAGACUUUCAGGUUUGGACAUUUCUGCAACAUCAAAAGGCUUUAUGACAUCCAAGCCCUUGCUUUGUAGGGGAGAUGAUCAGCACAUCACUGAAACUGCUUCUCAUGGCUACAGGGUGUAUAGAGCUAUACAGGUGUCUGAGGCUGGAAAUCUUUGGGCAAUAGAGAUAGGGAUAUGGGAGAGCAGAAGUAGGGCACUCAGGAGAAAAGUCUCCUCUAUAGCAAAGUCGUUAAGGAUUUCAAAGGGCUUUAAAAGGUGUAAGUGGAUUUUCAAAACAAUUCCAAGUUUGUUAUGUUCAGAACAAAAAAGGAAAAUAUUUGUGGAUUGCUUAAUGACUAGAAGUUGCUGGAAAAGGAUGUUGAAAUGUUACCUUUUGUCACAGCAGUCUCAAGCCUUUAUUCACUUGUAUUGGAAUGGAUUCUCCAUUCUGGUUGUGGAAACCAAUUCCACUUUUCUACCUCAGUUUUUAAAACUGGAGUUAUAAGGAAAAGGUAAAAUUUAGGCAGAAGCCAUGAUGGUAAAAAUAAAGGAGAUACAAGAUAACACACAUAGAGGCUAAAUGUUUUUCCAUAUUUUAAUUGGUAAAAGUGAAAAUGUAAAAAAAAGUUUUCCAAAGACUAUAUUAAUAUAGUUCCUUUUUGCACUUGGUUUUGUUGCCAGUUAUAAUAAAAAAAAUAUGAGAAAAAUUUUAGUGCUUAAUUGGUCAGUUCAAAGCCAAUAUAUGAGAUAAUACUGAAAAUGUAUUAAACUUCUUAAAUGAAAGUUAUGCUGCAAUUUAAGUGCCUUUUGCUACAGAGAAAAAUGGUCCUAUUAUAGUCUGGUUUUAUAUAGAUAAUGGAUGCAAUUCAUUUGAAGAGGCUUUGUAAUUUUGUUUUGGUCUAUGAAAUAGCAUUUCAUAUAUGCCUUUUGGCAUUUUUUUAUGCAAAUUACUUUUUCAUCAAAUGCAGUUUUUGUAGUACUAGCUCUGAUUUUCAAAAGAUUAGCAUUCAAAAUAAAUUGAUGCAUAAGUAUUGAAUUUGUGCAAUUAAAAUGUGCUCCAAGAAGAGAGAGGAAGUGGUUUGAGAGUCUGCUGAGAUGCUUAUUGUGUUUAUGACUGUUGCAAUGACAAUAGAUGCCAGUGUUGACCCUCUGUUACUAAUUUAAUUGCUCAUAGGGAUAUAAAUUUUCCCUUUGAAAGCAGUAAAGACAACGUUUUUAUAGAAUCAGUGGUGAACAUUGAGGCAUCCAUUGCAUUUUGUCCAUAAUGUAAAACAUUCUCUCAUAAAGAUAAUUAAAAAUUUGUUAAAUUACACAUGGUAGUGAUUGGGGUAAUUUGUUUUUUGUGAGCUGGGAUCAGAAGUGGACACUGGGCUUUUAUUUUCUGUACAGUCAGAGGAUGACUCUGAGGUCCCUGCUGGUUGGUGCUCAGGUUGUUUUGUGCAUAGCUGUUGCAAAAUGCAAGUAAUUAUUUUGUGACUCAUGUAUAACCUGUUAGUUAUUUAAAUAAGUAGAAUAUGAGUCUCAUGUGAGGUUUAAAUCAGGUCUGUUUCUUCUGCACGAGGCAAUCUCUGGGUUGUUCAAGAUAAUAAAGACAAUUUCUAGUGAAUAGCACUUAGAGACAUGUAUUUCUUCCGUCAAAUUAGAUAGGUAGUUUGUAUUUAUCAUCUCCUAUUGUGGACAGUUUUGAUCACAGUAUUAGGCAUUGCUCCUGUGAGGAAAUUUAUUAGGGUGCAUGAUUUUGCCUGUGCUAUGAAAUUGUUAGCACUUUGAAUAAAGGCAGAUCUUGACCUGCACUGAGCUCAUUGCAGGACUGUUGCUGUAGAGACUGCAUAAAAAAACCCCUGGAAAGUAUGAAAACAAAAAUCUGAUGAUUCCUUUGAGAAAAUUAUAUUUUGUCACUUUCUAAAUUAGUUACAUGUCUUAAGUUACUCUAAAGAUGCUUGGGCUGUACUCUUGCUCUGUAUGUGUUGAUAUGAUUACAAUUAAGUGGUAAUUAAAGGUAAUUUGAUCUCUGCUGAUGCAUAUACUUCUCUAUAAAAACAUAUAUGUAGACUGUUCUACUGACAAUGAUGGAAAUCCCUAGGGAUGUGAAAACUUGUUACACAGAAUUCCAAGCAAAAUUAAAGGCAAAAGUUGAGUUUCCUCUUUAUGAAGUUUUUUAUUUUGUUUUGUUUUGGUUUUUUUUUUUGCCAAGUAAAUACUGGAAAAUGAAUGGAAAUAGAUUGAGAUUGAUGGAAAAUAUGAUGACCAUGGCAUAAGAAGUACAUUUCUCUUGUUCUUCCCCCAAGGAAAAACUCUGUAGUAAUUGAAAUAGACAGAAUGAAUAUAAAUUCCUCAGCCCCGGUAUUCUGUCUAGCAAUGCUGUGGCCUGUGUCACUGCCAGGUCAAAAUUUAUUAAAUGAUAACAAAAUAAAGAAAGAUUAAGGCUGUUUAAUUUCAGAUGUAAUUACAGAAAUAUAUAUUUAUGUAUUUGUGCUAUAUACUGUGAUGUAGGAAUUACUGUAUGAAAUUUAUCAGUUUUCAUAGGCUUAAAGUAAAUAUCACAGUGGUCUUUUGGUUGAAAAGUACUGCUUUCUUUUUAAUUUUAACUACAACCCUGAAUAUUCUGUGUUCAUAAUUUAUUUCAGGAUAAGUAGAAGGAGGUGUUUUUUUUUUUUUCUUUUUUCUUUUUUUUUUUGCCUGAUCAGCCUGCAAAAGGUGGAUCUGGCACAGUCCUGUCUGUAGUUGUGGAUGGGAUAUAGGAAAGGCUGGGGUACAUCCAAAGGUGUGGGGAUGAUGGAUAGACCUUUGGAGAACCAGUGUCACAGCUGGCAGGGGUUGUAUGUCUGAACAACAAAAGACAGUGGGAAAUCAAACCUUGUCUUUUCUGGGGCUGGUGAAAAAAAUCAGUUAACUCCUAAGUUACUGAUGCAAACUUUCAGUUGUGACUUCAGUUUCAUACAGCUUUGUCUGGGGGCCCUGAGGUUUCUGGUGUUCUGUUUCUUCAGUUUUACGGAGUCAUAGUAUUUUUCUCUCCAGUUAAGUACAUUGACAGAAGACUGAAAAAAUGUAGUGAUAUAAUUUACAUUUCCAGCUGAAGUUUCAGAAUUCAGUAGAACAGCCCUCACGUCAGUGUUUCUUUAGUUUUAUUAGUGGAUGUUUACAAUGUCUGUUGUGCCUGUUAUCUGAGCCUAGAUUUAAAGCAGUUCCUGUUGCUCUUGUAGAGUUUUUCAAAACUUCAACAGCACAGUGCAGGAAAAGCAAUUACUUUGAGGUGCAUCUAUACCAAUUCAAACAUGAAGCCGUCAAAAUAUAAUUUUCAUUUACCUUUUUGAUAGUGUUUGUGUUGACCAUGUUUUUCUAGUCUUUUAGACUAUGAAUGAAAUGGAGCAUCUUUUGCAGAAUUGACCUUUCAGUUGAGUUUGGCAGCCUGCAGUGACUUAGUGUCAUUUUGGCAUCAGUUGGCAUUUCUGUGGAAAAUGUCAUUACCAAUGGCUCUGUUCCCUUAGAGACAGGCCUAGAGGGGAAUGUAAGCUUGCAUUAUAACUUAAAGAAAUUACAGUGAUCAAUACAGAGUUCUGGUAUCAGUGUGCAGUAGCGAAUACCGUAUAUGGUCCAGAUUUGUUUUCCUCAGAGAAAGCUUAAGGCAGGUUCCAUUAUGAAAGGGAAGGACUCACUUGCUUUUUGGGCACUGUGUGCUACUUAUGUAUAGCCAGUUCUGUGGAAUAUUAAUAAACUGCAUCUCCUGCUUGUGGGUGUUCCAGAAUGCCUGAUAUGAUUGUUUCUGAAAUUAAACAGUACUUUUGAGGCCUGGAGUUUACAGAUGUUAAUUCUAAUUUUUAACUUUUGUGACAUUUCUCUGUUUGAGUUGGGAAAAAAAAUGUAGUGUAAAAUUAGGAAGGAAGGAAUUGGAAUUGGUUUCAUAUGCCCCUGCUUAAAUGGAAAAACGUUUAAAAAAUGUCAGCAGAGUCAUGAGAGUUAUUCUGAUGUUAGUAUAUCAAGAGUAUCUUUUUUUUACCUUGUGUUUUUUUUUUCAAGGACACCACUGAAAUGCUGAAAAAGCAGUAAUCCCACAGUCAGGUUUGUUCCAUUGGGAUUUUUUUUUUUCCUUUUCUAUAGAAUUUACAAAAAUUUAGAAGUGUAAAAGUAGGGUAAGUGGGAAAAAAAUUUGUUUCAAAUUCAUAGCAGAGUAAGGAUAAAAAAGGGAUCUCAAAAUGGUAGGUAAUGGAAGACAUACAGGUGGACUUUGUGCUCUGGAAUAUUGUGAAUACAACUGUAUCUGAAUUUAAUAUUGUGUUGGUCAGAAAAGAUACAACUGGGGAUGCGGAUGUGCAGUCCCAUGCUCAAAGACUCAUAUUUUUGCUUGUCCCGUGGACUUUUCUGUGAUCUUAGACAACUCAUAAUCUUCCUAGAUAAGGGAAAAACCCUGUAUGAAACAGAAGGUGCCAUUCACAUCUAAGAGGAGUUUGCAUCCUGUGAAAAGGAGAACUAGAAAAAUGUAAAUGAAUUAUUACACUUCUGUGUUUAUUCUUAGAAGAAUCCGAAUUGUGCAAAACAAUAACAGAGCUGACGCUAGAAAAGUGGUGGAGUUCAGGACUUGAUAAAGAUUGACACCAGCUUAUACUUAGAAUAUAAGCUGUUUGGGGGAAGGAAGUUUUGGCAGCUCUUACAACCCAGCAUAGUGGAGACAUAAUCACAGAUCAGGACCACUCAUCAAUGCUCCAGUAAAAUCUGGAAGCAUGGUUUAGAAUUCAACCAGAUAUAUGAUAUCAGUUAAGAAUGUAAACAUCAUUAGAGAAACAGGAACGCCAAAGUAGGAAAUUUAACCAUAUAUAUCCACAGACACUGUGGUGGUCUGGUGACAUUCUUGAUUCAUAACUUUUACAGUUGAUUUUCUUUUAAUGGACAGAAAGAAAAGAAAGAGAGUAGUUAAUAGAAUAUUCAGAGAGGAAGUAGAGAAAGAGAGCUGGAGCAAGAAAUAGAAUAGCUCAUGGGUUAGAAUUAGUUUAAAUUUACUCUGGUCUAUUUCUGUUCUAAUGCUGUACUUGUGCAUUAUAAUAGGACGUACCCAGGAAGCACCAAAUGUGUCUAGAAAUACAAUACUAUUUUCUUGAUUUAAAUUGAGAACAAGCAUGUUGUCAAAAAGAGAAGGUAUCUUUUGGGGUUCUUUCUGUUUAUAAGUAUAGUGUGACAAAUGGAAUACCCCUAAAUCUCAGUGUUAGUCUUUCUUGUUCUACCAAGUGAUUAAAGGGUUUACUUUUAUUCUCUCCAAUAUUUCAUGUGAUUUACUAAAAGAUCUUGAAUGCAGUCACAGUACUUGCCAAGAUUUCAUUUCCAUUGGAAACAACAGUCAUCCUAAGUAACUUGUAUUACUGUUGGUUAUACUGGUUUGGAUAGGAAUGGACUUGAGUCAUCAUGUCUGUAACUCAGUGAGAACUGAAGACAAAUACUGACUUUAUUUAUUUAUUUGAAUGCAUGUAAAGUAAUAAAAUUUGUUUAGUGUGUUUGUUCAGAACAGUGAUGGGCAAGUUCACUUCCGAAAUCAACAGUACUAUUAACCUUGAAUAUUGUGUGCAGUUUUGGGCACCACAAUAUGAGAAAGACUUGAAGCUAUUAGAGUGUCCAAAGGAGGGCCAUGAGGAUGGUGAAGGGCAUUGAGGGGAAGCCGUGUGAGGAGUGGCUGAGGUCACUGGGUUUGUUCAGCCUGGAGAAGAGGAGACUGAAGGGAGACCUCAUGGCAAUCCACAACUUCCUCAUGAGGGGAAUAGGAGGGUCAGGCACUGAUUUCUCUGUGCUGACCAGUGACAGAACCCAAGGAAAUGGCCUGAGGUUGUGUUAGGGCAAUUAGGUUGGAUAUUAAGAAAAGGUUCUUCUCCCAGGGAGUGGUUGGGCUCUGGAACAGAUGCUCAGAGAAGUGGUCACAGCAACAGCCUGACAGAGUUCAAGAAGUGUUUGGACAGUGCUGUCAGGCACAUGAUGUGACUCUUGUGGCUGGUCCUGUGUAGGACCAGGAGUAUUUUGGUGAUCCUUUUGGGUCCCUUCCAACUCAGCAUAUUCUGUGAGUCUGUGAAUAAAGAUGAAAGCAGUGUAUCUCUUCAGUAGUGGUGGCUGUGUACCAUUUCCAUGUCAAAAAUAAUUGGUAGAUUAUUGGUAAUUUAUCAUCUUCAGUCUAGUUUUGCUACAGUUACCUGAUUCCAUUGCUGGUAACGCUCCCUUCUUUCUUUGUAUGGAGAGUUUCUCCAGCAAUUACGGUAACUUUUCAGCAGUACUUGCCAGGGAGUUCAAAGAUGAACUUGGAGGCACACAUUUUGCUGAUGAAGCUGUCUGUUGCAUUGUUUACCAAAUAUUUUCUAUUCCAAAUGUUUGAUUUUGUCACUGCUAUGUGAACUUAAAAUGUCCAUGCCAGUUGUCAUCCUGGAACAGUUCUUUCAAAGCAAAGGAAAACAUAUAUAUUACUUUGCUUAUGUUUUAAUAAAUUACUUUUUUUUUUAAUAACAUAAAUAUUUUUUCAGCUGCAUUUGAUAUUGUUGUUAAAAAAGAAAAGAAAUGAAAUAAGAGAGGAGAAGGGUUUAUAUGGUGAAUGUUUUUCUGUUGAUCCUUGUCUAAUUUGCUUUAGGAAUGUAGCAUGGCUAUAAUCUGCUAUUUAACAGGUACUCAGAAUUUCCUCCACAUUUUCUGCUGUAUAUUGAACUUCUGCAGAUUGGAUGAGCUGAAAGAUCUGAAACAGGAAUAGGGAAUUUCUCCCUUCUGUACCAUCAGUUCUUCAAAAGACUAUUGCCUGCAGGUGAUUCCUGUGUAAAGGAGACAGAAAACAAACUGUGGGAAACUGUAGAGGAUUGAAAAAAAGGUGAAAAAGAACACUGGUGUUAGGACUAGCUCUUUUUCAGUGAAAAUGGAGGAAAAGACAACCUGGACAAGGAGAUUGGGACUAUCACUUUGAAAAGAACCAUUAGUGUUUGGGAAAAGGUAUAACAUUAACUUUGGCAGGGGGCUUGCUUGAGCCUGGUAAGACUGAUGGACUGAGAUUGUGGCAAAGGACAUGAAAGUCUGUUCUUAGUCAGCUCAGGUGGCAGAGAUCUGUGUGAUGGGUUUAAAUGCUGCAGCCUGGGUGGAGGCCAUGUGAGUAUCAGUACAGGAAUUCCUGCUUUCUUAGAUUUUGGAAAAAUAAACUAGAAAAUUACAUACAAAAUAGUAGAGAAAAUGUUACUGUGAAUACACAGACAUAUGACAUACAUUUGUAAGGUUAGGUAGGAAAUGCCAAAUUUCAGUUUAUCUUGGCAUCCUCAGUAGAGACCAUAUGUGUAGUGAUAUAGUUCUUAAUCACAUUCAGAUGUUUUCAUGUAUAAUAUUUUAAUAUUUUUAAUAAGCUAGCUACUAGCUGUAUUGUCAGUGUCCAUCUCUUGUCUUUCCACCCCAUGGUUGUGUAUCCAAGACUGAUUUUUAGUUGUAAAUCUGAAACAUGAAGUUCAUUCCAGCUUCCAACAAAUUGUGGCUCAUCUUGGUCCAUGAAAAGUAUCUGCCAUAAACUUCGUGCUUGGGCCCAUAAUUGUUCCUCUGACUCCUUACUGGAAGACUGCUUUUUCUUAAUUCUUAUUAUUGAUUUUGACAUUUUAUAUGAACUGAUGUGAAAGUUGGCCUAGACCUUCUCAAAUUCUACACAAUGUGUAAAUUUUCUGGAGACGUGUAUUUUCUUUUUACAGUGCUUUUGUGAAGGGGUUUUUAUUUGGUUCUGAAAGUAGAGCUUUUAUCUGAGGAGUGACAAGCUGCGAUCUCCAGAUCAAACACUUCUGUUUUUUGUGUACUUACAAUAAUUUGCAGAUUUAAUUUGAAAAUGAACGUUCACUGCUUCCUAUCUUUCUUAGUAGUGUUGACGUAGAAAAGUAUGAGUUUAAUUGAGCUUCACAGAGUAUGUUUUUUGUAAAGUAGCCUGCUCUGGUCAUAGCCAUAUACAUUCAUUGUAGAAGUUGUCUUACUGUGUGCCAGCAUCUACUUGGUAGGGCUAAUCUGAAAAAGGCCAUUGACCAAAAAACAGUAGAAUUAAACUACCCUGGUUGGCUUUGCACUGGAGAAUAUUUGGUAUAUAAAGAAAUUGUGAACUCUCGCAUGCCCAGAGGGAGUGUGCUGCAGCAGAGUUGCAAGGUGCACAUGUGGCACCUAUGGAAGGAGGAUAGCAGCAGGAGAGCAAUGAGGAUGAUGCAGGAACCAACAUGAGGUUAGACUGUAGGAGCAGUGGAACAGUGUUUUGCAGUUUUCAGUGUGGUUGUAUUCAUCUUGGUAGUUGUGUCAGAGCUGACCAUUCUUCCCUUUCACCCUCUUCAUCUCCUUGCCAUAGAAGCCCCACACUAGUGCAGGCAGCAUGCUGCUGAUGUCCCUGUUGUGAUGUCUCAGGCCAGCUCUGAUUUGCAGUGUCCUGGGGUACACUGUGUUUUCUGUGUGGGUGGUCUUACCAAAACUGCCUCGGAAUGGUUGUGUGGAGCUGCAGUCAUGUCUGGGAAUGGGCUGGGACAGCAAGGCCAUCAGCUAUGGUCAGACUAAGCAGACCUGGGAAGUGAAGCGUGAAUCUUGAUGUUCAUUUGUUCCGGCCAGGGAAUUUAGGAUAAUUUGGUGUAUCCGGAGACUGGAGGCGGGAUGGGAGGGCAGAGGCAGAGCAAGCGGAACAGUCACUCUGACAUCUUGAACUGCUUUCAUACCACGUCCUGUGCAAAGCACACACUGUGGCAGCACUCCUCAGUAAAUGCAAUCUGGCUGUAGGAUUUAAGUAAAAAACAUUUUUAACUCCACCAUACAAGUACAAGAGCAUGUUAUUGAAAGUAUCCAACAGUGCCUUAUUUUCACAAAUGUGUUCAGCUUUAGAUUUUGGAAGAAGAAUGAGUGUUCUGUUCUGCCAGCUUUUUCUUCUGUUUGUUUCUUCCAUAAAUUUGAAAUGAUAGUGGGGACUUUGUGCAGCCAAGCACUGCUGGUGAAUAGAUGUUGGAAAAAAGAAUGAGAAGCCACAGUGGUAUGGAGGAAAUCAUGUGGCUACAGCUAUCUGUAGGAAAAAUAAACAUCCUUUUUCCCACUUCUCCACAAAAAUGGUUUUUGUAUCUGGAAAAAAUAUGGAGCUAAGGCAGAUAGAAUACUGAAAGGAAUUAACAUCUAUACACAAAAUACACUGCCUUAUGUGAGCACAACAUUUAACAAGCUAUUUCACCUGAGAGGAAAAGUCUGUCAUUGCUUUUGAAUUUGUAAAUUUAAAAAAAUCAGUGGAAAGAAAAAUAACAAUAUGGUCAAAAAUUAAAUUUAAGUUAAAUUUCUGCAAUAUUAUAUCUAAAAUUACGGACAAAAAUGUGUAUGGCUGAGCUGAGGACUGCCCCUUGUUAUGAAAUAUUUUGUUUUCUAGAUUUUUGUAUCUGUUCAUUCUUUCUUUUAAUGCAUUAUUUUGUUUGCCAUUCUCUAUCAUUAUUAUAUUAAAAAGUGUUUAUUUUGUAUUUUUUCAAAAUCAUAAGCCGAUGCAUGGAAGGCAUGAGAUUCAAGCUUACCAUUUGAAAGAUUUAUCCGAAGAUAAGGAUGUGCUUUAAGGAUUUUCUUUAAAAAUGUGCAUUGUUCUAGCUGUUGCCAGCCUCAAAUUCAGCAAUAACAAGAGUUUGUGUCUCCAAGUGGAGCAUUUUUUCCAAUAGCAUAGGAUUCUGAAUUAAUUUUUAAUGAGAGACUAAGCAGAAGUCAUUAAUAUUCACUCAGAACAAAAGAACUUUACUAAUGUCAAUUCUCACUCCAUUUUUCUCUUGAUUCCAAACACAGUCCAUCAUUCUGAACAGAUACUGUGCUGGACUGCCUAGCAAAAUGCAGAACAAAGUCUCUGUGGCUGGUGUGUUCUGAACAAAGCCUUCUUAUUUAUUUAAAAAUACAAAAUACUUUGUUUUUUAUUUAUUAAAUGAAAGAUCAGGACAUCUAGGUGUCCUGAAAUGAGGUGAUGAGAAACUAAGAAACCAUGUGGACAAUCACAGAGAUGUCUGAUUAAAAGCAAGAUAUGGACAGUCUUUGAUUUUUCCAAUGAGUGACAUAGAAGAGAUUUCUGCAUCCUUAUGAAUCUUAAAUAUUGGCAGACAAUAUUUGGCAUAAUUUGACUCAAACAUGAUACUUUUUCUUUCAUAAUGAGCACAGGUGUGAAAACCUUUUGUCAUCUUCUGUUUAGAUUUGAAUCAAGACAAAUAAUGCAUAUUUCAGUAUAUAGUAGCUUAUAGAGGAAAAUUGUUCCAUUCCCAAUUAUUUGUUCCCAUGGCUAGAGAAUAUAUGGAUAUAUUUUUUCCAUACCAAUGAGUAAAUUAACUUUUUUGGCAGAGUACAAUCUGCAACUCAGAGUGCAAUAAACUAAACUGUACUGUGGAUAGCACAUCUUGUAAAAGAAGGAAGCCUGGAUUUUAGUUCUAGACUGAAAUUUGCCUAAUGAUCUGAUAUUCUAUUUAUACCAGAUUGUUUUAAAACUCUGCUAAAUUUAGCCUGUUUUCCAAGUUCUUCCCAGCUCCAAGCAAACUAGUUUUUAACUCUAGAGUACCUAUAAUGAUUGCAUUGGCAAUCAAUACAUAUAAGCUUUUUCAUCUGUGAGUGAGUUGUGUUAGGGCUUGCAUGAAAUGGACAUGUUAAUAAAGAGAUACGUUUUUCAUAAAUAAGAUUAUUUUGUAAUGAAUUAUUGAAAGUAGUAAACUUCAAUUCAUCAUAGUCUGUAAAAGAAGUCAGGUGGUGUUAAACUGAGUGAAAAAUAUGUGCUAAACUGUAAUUUUAGGAAUAUCUGCAUUGUGCAAGUAAAUGUUCAUACUUUUGACUAAAAUACAGAUCUGGAAAAAGAGAAAGAAACUAGGCUGUUGUUCCUUCAAGAAUAAUAUUAAUGCAGAUGCCAAUUAUGCUGUUUUACAUUGCUUAAUGUUAAAUAGCUAUCUGGUGAGUGCUGAGACCCUGUGAUAUUUUCUACUAUUUAUGGAUUCUGCCAGUUUCCCACAUGAGAAUUGUGUAUGGCAGAGAAUUUCUCACAUAUUUGCUGUUAAAUGUAAUUCUGGUUUGGUAGAACUGGAUCCUUAGGGAUUAGUUGUGUUGUCCUUAUUGAUGGAAAGAUAAUGACUAUCUACACUGGAAGAAAACUGUUGUUUUUUAUAGAACAUAGAACAUACUUAUUUUUAAACACUCUUUUCUUUUGUGGCUAGAAUACAAGGAAUGACUAGUGAAUAAAAAUAUCAUUAAUCUGACUCUUCAGCAGAAUUAAUUAUAAUUUAAUGGACAGAAAAUCCAUGAGGAAUGUCCAUACUCCUACAUUGUUUGAAAAUAAUUUUAAACCAGAUGUAACAAUGGAAGUUCACUGCUUUUCCAAUGAAAGUAAAGUAGCAGAGACUGAUAGACUUUUAUGUAACAAAAGUGAUUAAGUUGGACAAGUUCACCUUGAUUUCUAGAUAUGAACAAAAUCUAUCUGCUUGCCUAACUUGUAUCUGUACAUCUAUUAAGUUAAGCUGGGAUAAAGAUAACAAUUUGCAGUUAAGAUGCAGAUAGAAGCAGGCCCUCAAAGAAAAAUCUAAUUGAAGUUUAUGAAGUUAAAUCCUAAUAUUUUGUUUGUCUCAAGAUGAGAGACUAUUUAUUCUCUGUUUUAAGAUUUUUAGCAAUUUAAUGUCUGGCAAUUUAUUGGCCUUUUUGAAAGUGAAUGACAACAAUAUAAAACUUUAAUUUCAAAAAGUAAAACUUGUAUUUUUAACAAAGUUAUCAAAGUUAAUGAGCAUUUAGCAUGCACUUUUUAGAUUUUAAUCUCAUCAUUAGACUUUAAAUGCUGCUAGUCUGAUAUCCUAUCUCUGUCUGCCUUGAUAUUAUGAUGAUAUUACCAAAUAAUGUUGAGAAAAGCUGCUGGGUCUGGCCCACCAGUCCAUCAUUUUAGAAGUCCUGAUAUGGAACUGAAGGGCAUUUUGCUGAAGCUGUGUACCCUGGUGUAGACAAGAACAGAGGGUUCAUGGGCCAGAGAAGAGUCUCCUGUGGUGAUCACACACUAAGGGCUGGCUGUCUCAGUUCUGUCUGCUGCUCCUAAGGCUGUUUGUGUGUUUAAUGAUGGUGAAACAAUGAGAUUAAACUCAUUAUUAGCUUUUCAACCAACAAAGACUAGCAUGACUUGUGCCCUGAUACUAAUUUUUUACCUCAGCUUGAUUUUUAGCUGUAGAAAUUUCUGACAUCUUAAAAAAUCCCUGUGGGUAGCAUUAGUCAAGUACUGUGCACUACUGGAUGUUAAUAUCCUAGGAUUUAAAUAUAAGCUUGCAGGAGCUGAGUCUGAUGUAUUUUGAAUGUCUACAUGGAGCAUAUUAUAGCUGCAUCUUCCUCUUGCAAAGAGAUGUUUAAAAUUGUUGGAAGUAAGUGAAAUGCGCCGUUACUUCUGGGGCUGCAGAGCAGCGUCCCUGGAUGUCAGGUUAGGCACUUACCGCCCCCGGGGCUUGCAGUUUUGUAUUACAGAUUAUCAUUAUUGCGUACACUUUUCUGAUGAGAUUGGGAAAUUUCUUUAGCUGUAGUGUAAAGAUGCCAAAAUACAUUUACUACAGACCUUAAGGCAAGUAUAAUUCUUCCAGAGGCAGCCUCAGGCUUUGGAGGUUUUUGUGCUGAAAGCAUGCUUAGGCUUCCCAUGAGAUCCUCAAAGAGAUAAAAAGACUAAAAGCUCUUCAAAGCUAGGCCUUAGGCCCUGACAUAAUUUAAUUCUCUGGUGAUGGUUUUUGUAUGUAAAAAAAUGAAUAAAUAUUUACAAAAAUUUAAAUAGAAAUGUACCUAACUAGCCAUGAAAAUAACUUUUUAAUAUCACCCAUUCUUUUGAAUUCAACAUAAAAACAUCUUCAUAUAACUUUAAUUUAGACAUCAGAUGACCAGGAAAGGACAUGGUAUUUUCUCUCUCUCUUUCUAUAUGCAAAAUUUCAGCAAGGUUAUCUUGUUUUUUUCAUGCUGAAUAGUUACUCCUGAUAACUGAACUGACAUUGAAAUUAAUUUGCAUAACAAGUAACUAUGAUGUUAUUCUAACUCUAUUCUGCACUUUAACCCAGUCACUUACUAAUUGUAAUUUAGUUUAAGGUCCUGAAUUAAAGAGCUGCUCUGUGUUCUGAUCUCCUCCCACUUUUCCCUUUCUUAUUUUUUAGGCUAUAUUAACACUAGAUUUUAUAUAACAAAUAGCAAGAUAUUCUAGAAAAUUCCCCCAAUCUUCAACACUGUGAGUACAGUAUUUUAAGUUAAGAGUUAAUUUAUGCUGGAAAUGACUUAAGAGAAAUAUCACUGAAAAAGAGCCAGGAAAAAUCCUGUUGAGAAUCUCUAUGGUAUCAGCAUUAAAACUGUAGGGUAGGAGUCAAGAAGUCUUGAUUGAUUGCAGGCUUCCCUUCUUACUGUGGAGAUGCUGCUUUGCUUCAUGGCUUCCUGUUCUCCACCUUGUAAAACAGAAUGAUGGAAUCAUCAUAUAUCUUCAGGUAUAUAGCAGGGAGCAGCCCACUCUGGUAGCUAUUUAUCCUCUUCACAAAAUUCCAGAUGUUCAGAGGAGACUUGAGAUAGUUUGUUCCCCAAAUCAAAUCUGCUGCACCUCUCAGACCUCUGUUCGUACCAUGAUUGUCAAUUGGCCAUGAAUCAGCAGCAUGAUCAGGAGCAGGUUUUUUGGUCAGGCUUACUUAUCCCUGGCUGUUCUUACUUAAGCCUGACUCCAGCCUAGUCUUCAAAUGCCUGAGGAUAAGGAGAGAACUUGGUCUACUCUGUGUCUGUAUAUUCAAUCAAAAGCUUUAUCCCUCUAUUUAUAAAAUUCUUUAAAUCUUAUCCACAGGAAACUGCAUGAGUUAAAAGUAUUUAUUGCUCUUUAAUAUUAUUAAUAGCAGCAAGUGAUCAAAUCUGGAUAAUUUGUAGUGUACAAAACAUUGCUAUAUAAUUUCUUUUGCUUUUCUCCUCUCAGGAGGUGCUUACUGUGGAGUUUCACAUAGUGCAGGCAUUAGCGUUCUUUGAUUUGAAGAAUUGUAGUUCAGUGUGCUUUUUUAAAGUGGUAACUUAGAUAUACUGUGUUAUGUGAAGAGCAUCUUAGGGUUAUAUUUUCAUUAUUUAUUUAUAGAAAUUAUUUUUUCCUAUAGUAAAAUAUGAGAACUGACAUUUUAAUAAAUAUUAUGAAUGUUCAUAAUAGAUUAAGAAGCAUGUUCACCUAGAAGUACCUGUGUUGAGAUAACUCCCAAGUUUAGAUUCCACUGUCACUGGAAUUAGUUGGUUCAAGAGUAACCAGGUCACAGGAGCGACUAAAAAGUUAACUGAGGCAAGAAAUUCCAGUUUUAUGUCCACUACUGGUUUCAAGAAAACCAUUCAGAUUAGAAGUAAGAUAAUGCUCUAAUGUGAAAGCAAAUUAAGUAACUGAUAAAAUGUAAUUGCUUUAUGUAAUUUUUUUUUUUUUGUGAAUACGGGAACAAAAUUAACACAAUUUAGAAAUAAGACAUUCUUCUCCUAAAAUCUUCAAUGUUUGUUUGGAAGGUGCUAGAUCAACUUUUAUUUGAUUCAAUACAAAAGAGAUUUUCCCAACAGUAAAAACUUUUUAAGCUGAAAUUUUGCAGCUAAACUAUAGACCAUGACUGAAGUAAAAGAUAAUUUUAAAAGACUAAAAAAUCAGGUAACAAAUAAUUUUAAUGUGGUUCAGAUAUUUAAUUAAAUCCUUUAAAAUUAUGAUCUGCAUUUCAUUGAAUAUAAAAAUACGUUACUAAAUGCAAGUUGACAUUUCUAAAUUAGGUACUUGCCACUUCAUCAGUGAUAUAAGCAGAAAAGUAUUUUUCAGGGAAUUAUGGAAGAUGUUUUUAUCAUCUUGUCACUGUUGUCAUGGAGACUUGUGUAUAUCAUUGUUAAACAGACUGUACAUAGGAUCUAACAUUCCUGUGACUUAAAAUUGCCAGCUAUUGUAUUUUUAGUGUAUUUUCUUCAACACUGUAGUCAAUGCAUAGGUACUUGUAAGUUGCUCUCUCAAUUGCAGCCAUGAAUACAAUUACAGGAUUAGGCUGUCCAGAGACCCCAUAGUACAGGGUUCUCUGUGAAAAGGUUCUUUUCAAUACAGGGUUAUUAACAGUUUUAUUUCCUAAUCCAUUGUAGCCUAUUAUAAGCACUUAAAAAUUAAUAUUCCCUCUAUUAAAGUAGACUAUUUUGACAGCAGUUUCUUUGGGAAGAAUGAGCUAUCCAUCAGUCAUUAUGAACUAUGUCUUGAAAACUUCGGAUCUUUUCUGAAUGUGGAUUUUAUGUGUUAUGUGCUUUGUUUUUGAAUACAGUGCUAAAUUCAUAGUAAACCUCUUGUGUGUCAUUGUCUUAACCUAUCAUGCAUGGAACACUAGACUGAAAGAAGCUUGACUGGAAAAUCCAAAUUUAAGUGCUCCUAGACACAAAGUAUGCGUAACUUGUUUUUCUCUUAAAAUCUUAUGAUGGGCACAAUUCACAAAGUAGGGAAAAAAAAGGAAUUUUUGUUUUUUUCCUUCCAAAUGAGGUUUAAGAAUUGGUAAUUUUAAGCACAAUAAAAGUGUUGUAUCUUUUGCAGAAGUAAAGGUUUAUUUUGUCUUCUAGUGUCUGGAGUUACUUCAAAAUAUAGCUUCUGCAUCAAUUAUUUAUGACUUGAAAUUACUUAUCUUUUAAAAAAGAUGAAGUUACUUAAAUACAUUUUUCAUCAUUGAACAAGUGACUUUCAUUACCUCAAAAGUAUUAAUUAAAUUUCUUUUCUCAUCCUGGCCUGUCUGGUUUCAUCUUUUGGGGAUUUCUCUGAACACUCUUCUGAAAUUUUAAGGCUAUUAUUUUAAAUAAAUGAAGAAUGUAAGUUUUGUGCUGGAGUAAGCUGUCUGUAGCAAUUUGAUGCAAAUUUAACUUAUCUGAGAAUCACAGUAACAUGAAGUAUUCAAGAAUAGUAAAGUUGUAAAGGUUUUUUAAAAGAUGUAUCUCACUUAUGAUGUUGGUAUUGUUCUGUUCAGAGAGUUACAGUCAGGACUACUAAAAUACAAGUACAGAAAUAUGAAGAAGAAAAAACUCAAAUACAAAUAACACCAUGGCUUUAGUAUCUAAAAAAAUGCUUUCAUUAAGUAAGUAAGGGUUAUAGGUUGAAAGUUAAAUUUCUAGGAAAUGUAUACUUUUUCUCUUCCUGCUCUGGGAGAUUCUGUCAGUUCAGGCAGUUGAAUUCAGUGAAAUGACACAAGAAAAUAUCCUGGCUAGUGAACAUGCCCGAUCGAUAUGACUAAGAACUAAGAAUCUGUAUAUAAAAUAAAUGCAUAUUUUCUAUUAUUUCAGAUUACAGUAAGCUGUAUAUGAAUGUAUAGUCCUAUGAGGAGAUAUACCUAGCUUUUUAGGAUUUAUUGAGGCAAAAUAGAACUCAUUUAUUACUGGCUUCAUACCUUUCACCUAAUCAUAAAUGAUUUUAGCUGGGAUUUGUAGAAAAAUAGAAUUUCCAGACUUCAUAUAUUCCUGUAUCUUUCUUUCAAAGGAUUUAAUUUUGGAUAAAAUGGAAGUUUUGUGAACAGAGAGCUUUGAUAUUUUAUCCAAAUUUUCUGCAUUAAGAGAAAAGCUGUAACUCCCUCUUCUGCUGAAUGCGAUUUUGCAUUUAUGGAUACCUCACACAGUAACCCAGUCAGCUGAUGAGUUUGUUUUUUAGCCAUCUUCUGUAGAACAGCCUUAUGAAAUCUGAGUCAUAAGUUGCAGAGCAGAGGGAAGAAAGUGGGAUGUGUAUUGCCCCCCCAGCAGUUACAGGGCACCAGCUGUGGGUGCAUUCAGCACAUGCCAGCGUUGGGGCUCCGCGUUCUGCGGGUAAUAGGAAAAAAUAUCCUGAUUAUUCAUUGUUGUAAUGGAGUUGGGAGUGCUGAAGAGCUCAUCUGCUAUGCCCCAGAGCUGUUAGCUCUGGUGGACUGCCACACCUAGGUGAACCCUUGAGUAAGGGGACGGGGCUUUGUGACAAGAAAGGGAAAUGCCGCAGCAGUCAGCUGGGGUGGAUGGAGCAGUUGCAGUGCAGUCAAAUGUGGCACCUCAGCUCUGAUCCAUCAGCUUGCAAAAGGAGCUGUAGGAGGGAUAGGUUUUCAGGCUUCUGGUUAAACUGAAAAUAUUGAGGGAGUGGAAACAUCAGAUUCCUUUAUUGUUGAGGGUUUAAUUUCUUGACAAAUGAAAAACUAGGAAAAUAUAGAUAGAACUGUGUAUCCAAUGUAGAAAAUAAUGUUUUGAGGCUUAAAAAAUAUUGUGUAAACAUAGUAAGCAAUUACAAAUACUGGUAGAAAAAUGAAGUGGAGGUUUUGGGGUAAUUUUAAUAGCUUAUUUUGUUUUAUUGUAAUGUAUUGUUCUUCAUCACAGGUAAGGCUAUAUCUGUAUGGCACAGUCCUGUGCCCUGAUACAUACUAUCCCUUCUGAAUGAGUUCACUUCUCAGGACAAUGAGUUGUGUGGGAGAGUUUAUUAACUCAGGUUACAUAACUACUGGUAUCUAGAUUAGAUUGGGUAUUAUUAUAUGAAACUAAUUGUGUACCAUACAGACAUCUGAAAUACUCUGACAUCAAAAUCCAGUUAGGCUAGACAAUGUCUGAGAGUGUCAGUUUACAAGUCUGUUUCUGUAUCUAUUAGACAUUGAAAAUUCAUUAGGAUUUCUGGAAUUCAGAAAUCAGAAUUCUAACAUCUCAUUUGUAUUUGUCCUUAGAAAUAUAAUUGCCACUCUCUGCUUUAUCAAAACAUUGAAUAAAAUAACUUUUAUUGAAUGAAAAUCCUAACUUAGAGCCAUGAGGUAUUUGCAGGUUCUGAAGUACUAAUGAUGAGUGCAGUGGUAAUGAUCUGACAGAUACAAACUCAUGGGUAAGUUUUUUUCUCUAAACAGAGUAAUCUCUUGAUUUUCUCUAGUUAAUGUGAAUUGGUAUUUCAUGUUCAGGGAGGCUAAAGCUGGCAGGCUGGGAUUCCUUGCAUUUUCCUGUUUGUGAUUGUGGUGCUGAUAGCCUAACUAUGAACUUCCUUAUGCAGGGCUGCUAGGAACUUCCAGUCUGAGUAUUUCUAGAAUUGAGAAGUGAUUGAGUCUCAGCACUUGAAAAUGGCUUGUGUGCUUUUUAAAAAGACACCACCAUCUGUGUUACGUUGAAUUAAUUGUAUCUAUUUUGGUGAUGUCUGCAUGUGUCCAGUAAGAGCAGAAAAUAACAUUUUAAUUUCAUGGAUGUCUGUGGGUUGAUUUUUAACUGACUGGAAACAUCAUACCUUUACCUCUUAUUUUGUUAGGUUUUCAGUCCAGAAUCGAAAGGACUAUAUUAAUAAUGUAUAUACAUCUCAGUAUAGUGCUGUGCAGAUUUCUAGCUGAAAUACCUUGGUCCUUAAUUUGCAGCUUAUGCUCAUAUACCCCAUGAGGAGCUCUGCUUUAAAUAAGUUUGACUUUGUAAGGUUUCUGGUAUCUUUGCCAGGACAAACUUGGGUUCUGCUGUUCUGUGAAGACUAAUCCUUUCAGCCCAGCAGUACAUAUAGAUAUUGAGUAUAUCAGAAGGCUUUUAGGGAUGAUGCCAAGAAGGUCCAGAGGUAUUGCUUGUUCAGGGACACAACUGAGAAUCAUUGCUGGGUUGUUAUGUGUAUGAGGGCCAAAAUGAGAUGAAGCCUUUUAACUUUGCAGGCCAAAAAUUCCCAAAUGUAUUUCUUGAAAGACUGAUAAAGGGACAGGGAGAUGGUGGGGCUCUGGCCAGAUGUGGACUCAACUAUGUGUGAUCAAAGUGGGAAAUCUACCCAGCUGUGCACCUUAACUAUUCACACUCUGGGCCAGCUCUUACUCAGGGGGAUUUGGGCUCACUUAUGUCCCAUGUUUCUUCCUCUUCUGCCUCCAUAGCGGAUACGUGUUUACAUCAAGUACUUGAGUGAUGCUCUGUGACAAGAAAUAGUACACUGACACAUGGAAUGAUGGCUCUAAGUGUUGGGACACCAAAAUGUCUCCUUUCAUAGCAUAAGCAAAGGUUGUGUAUUGCAGGUACAAUACUUCUGUAAACAGUAUAGGCUAAAUUUGAACUAAGUUGUGAAAUGUCCUUGUAGGUGUGUGGAAAUAGAAAUGUGGAGCUACACAGGAUUUUAUUACAAAAUCUGAAUUAGUUCAUGUUGGGUGCUUCUCUGAAGAAUCCAUUUGUACACAUUUUAAGGUAUCUGUAAAGCAAUAAGAAAUUCUAAUUUUGCCAUGCCCUGUGUGCAUAUAAGUAUGGUGGAUACACAGCUUAGCACUCCAUUACAGUGUUUUCUUAAAAUUCUGUACAAUUGGAUUUUGCUUAAUCUGUGUUGCUUCAUGCCAGAACAUAAGAUUAUGGAUCAUUACAUUAUAUAUAGUGGAAAAUGAUUAAGAAGGGUCAGUUCGAAGGUUUUGGUAAAAUUGCAGGUUUUGUAGGUGAAAAGUAAUCUUUACUACAACAUAGUUCGGAUGUAAAAGCUCAUCUUUUUAACUAGGUCUUUAUUCAGAUUAAAUUUAGUAUUUUUAUAGUAAUUUUAGAAAUAUUGGAAAUGCGCAUGCACAUUUGUAAUGCCAAACAUUCCUGCUGAUUCUAGAUAAUUUAUUGCUUCCUAUAGAAGUAGCUAAAGCUUCUUUCCCAUGCCUGGGCACUUGAACAAGGCCAGUUGGACGAGGCCCUGAGCAGUCUGAUCAAGUGGGUGGCACCUUGGCCCAUGGCAGAGGGGUUGGAACUGGAUUAUCUUUAAAGUCCCUUCUCUCCCAAGCUUUUCUAUGAUUCUUCUUGACUUGCAGGCUGCUAAUUAAGUCACAGUGCACUUCUAACCCAUGCAACUCUUAAAUGGUCCUAACAAAUUCUUCCCUGGGUUAUAUCUGGAUAUAUUAAAUUUGCAGGAUUGCUUUAUUGAACAGUGAAUGUUUUCUGAUAGUAUUCAGUGUUUUGAGGAGAGUGAAAAAAGUGGGAUAGGUUUCUGUGUCAUAGAGUACCUUGCUGCAUCUCUUAUGUGAGUAACUUGUAUGGUCAGUUGUGAUUUUUUUCCCUUAUUCCUUUGUGCAUAAUAUAUUUUUCUUUAAGUGGAGUUAUAGUAGCUGUCUAUUGCUUGUAUUAUGGAAUUACAUGGGGCACAGGGUAUUUGAAUGCUUGAUUCUGCCUGACCCUGAUCAU
Taeniopygia guttata (zebra finch) is the source of this 29387-nucleotide non-coding RNA. NCBI's taxonomy places the organism in Eukaryota, Metazoa, Chordata, Aves, Passeriformes, Estrildidae. The record is from RefSeq and is a predicted model, not a curated record.